AUUGAACGCUGGCGGCAUGCCUAACACAUGCAAGUCGAGCGGAUGAAGGGAGCUUGCUCCUGGAUUCAGCGGCGGACGGGUGAGUAAUGCCUAGGAAUCUGCCUGGUAGUGGGGGAUAACGUCCGGAAACGGGCGCUAAUACCGCAUACGUCCUGAGGGAGAAAGUGGGGGAUCUUCGGACCUCACGCUAUCAGAUGAGCCUAGGUCGGAUUAGCUAGUUGGUGAGGUAAAGGCCUACCAAGGCGACGAUCCGUAACUGGUCUGAGAGGAUGAUCAGUCACACUGGAACUGAGACACGGUCCAGACUCCUACGGGAGGCAGCAGUGGGGAAUAUUGGACAAUGGGCGAAAGCCUGAUCCAGCAAUGCCGCGUGUGUGAAGAAGGUCUUCGGAUUGUAAAGCACUUUAAGUUGGGAGGAAGGGCAGUAAGUUAAUACCUUGCUGUUUUGACGUUACCAACAGAAUAAGCACCGGCUAACUUCGUG
RNAcentral lists this ribosomal RNA (484 nucleotides) under uncultured bacterium. RNAcentral's name for it is "partial 16S ribosomal RNA". It matches the Rfam family "Bacterial small subunit ribosomal RNA", at positions 30 to 507 of the family's 1533-position model. The record is from RNAcentral.